GAUGAAGAACGCAGCGAAAUGCGAUAAGUAAUGUGAAUUGCAGAAUUCAGUGAAUCAUCGAAUCUUUGAACGCACAUUGCGCCCUCUGGUAUUCCGGGGGGCAUGCCUGUUCGACCGUCAUUAUAACCACUCAAGCUCUCGCUUGGUAUUGGGGUUCGCGGUUUCGCGGCCCCUAAAAUCAGUGGCGGUGCCUGUCGGCUCUACGCGUAGUAAUACUUCUCGCGAUUGAGUUCGAUAGGUCUACUUGCCAGUAACCCCCAAUUUUUACAGGUUGACCUCGGAUCAGGUAGGGAUACCCGCUGAACUUAAGCAUAUCAAUAAGCGGAGGA
Molecule: unclassified non-coding RNA, 329 nt
Filed under: soil metagenome
Description: partial contains 5.8S ribosomal RNA, internal transcribed spacer 2, and large subunit ribosomal RNA
Rfam family: 5.8S ribosomal RNA (bases 1-120)
Source: RNAcentral